GACGAACGCUGGCGGCGUGCUUAACACAUGCAAGUCGAACGGUAAGGCCUUCGGGUACACGAGUGGCGAACGGGUGAGUAACACGUGGGUGAUCUGCCCUGCACUUUGGGAUAAGCCUGGGAAACCGGGUCUAAUACCGAAUAGGACUACGGCCUGCAUGGGUUGUGGUGGAAAGCUUUUGCGGUGUGGGAUGGGCCCGCGGCCUAUCAGCUUGUUGGUGAGGUCACGGCUCACCAAGGCGACGACGGGUAGCCGGCCUGAGAGGGUGACCGGCCACACUGGGACUGAGAUACGGCCCAGACUCCUACGGGAGGCAGCAGUGGGGAAUAUUGCACAAUGGGCGCAAGCCUGAUGCAGCAACGCCGCGUGAGGGAUGACGGCCUUCGGGUUGUAAACCUCUUUCAGUAGGGACGAAGCGCAAGUGACGGUACCUAUAGAAGAAGGACCGGCCAACUACGUGCCAGCAGCCGCCGUAA
This 476-nucleotide ribosomal RNA is filed under the name uncultured bacterium. RNAcentral describes it as "partial 16S ribosomal RNA". It matches the Rfam family "Bacterial small subunit ribosomal RNA", at positions 28 to 523 of the family's 1533-position model. The record is from RNAcentral.